UUCUGGUUAGCUUAGUUGGCAGAACGCUCCACUGGAAAAGGAGAGGUUGAUCCCUUGUUCGAUGCUAGGACCAGGCA
This 77-nucleotide transfer RNA is filed under the name Ixodes scapularis (black-legged tick). RNAcentral describes it as "tRNA-Ser for anticodon GGA". The record is from RNAcentral. Lineage: Eukaryota; Metazoa; Arthropoda; Arachnida; Ixodida; Ixodidae.